AACGCGUACCCAGACGGACCCAAAGACCCUACAAAGACCCCACAGCACCCAAGGGUGCUCAAGAUACGCCGAGAUAGGUUACUAAGACCCUACUAAGACCCUACUAAGACCCUACUAAGACCCUACUAAGACCCUACAGCACCCAAGGGACCUCAGUGUACCCAGAUGGACCCCAAAGACCCUACACAGACCCCAGAGCACCCAAGGGUGCUCAAAGCCUACCUAGAGAGACCCCAAAGACCCUACAAAGACCCUACGAAGACCCCAAAGCACCCAAGGGUGCUCAAAGCCUACCCAGAUGGACCCCAAAGACCCUACAAAGACCCUACGAAGACCCCAGAGCACCCAAGGGUGCUCAAAGUGUACCGAGAUGGACCCCAAAGACCCUACAACACCCAAGGGUGCUCUACAAGUACCGAGAAAGGUCCUGAAGACCUUCUGAAGACCCCAGAGCACCCAAGGGUGCUCAAAACCUCCCUAGAUGGACCCCAAAAGACCCUACAAAGACCCUGAAGCAUCCAAGGGUGCUCGAAGCCUACCUACAUGGUCCCCAAAGGACCCUACAAAGACCCCAGAGCAACCAAGGGUGCUUGAAGCCUACCCAGAUGGACACCAAAGACCCUACAAAGACCGUAUGAAGACCCCAAAGCACCCAAGGGUGCUCAAAGCCUACCUACAUAGACCCCAAAAAACCCUACAAAUAACCUGGAGCACCCAAGGGUGCUCGAAGCCUACCUAGAUUGACCCCAAAGACCCUACAAAGACUGUACGAAGACCCCAGAGCACCCAAGGGUGCUCGAAGCCUACCUAGAUGGACUCCAAAAGACCCUACAAAGACCCUGGAGCACCCAAGGGUGCUCGAAGCCUACCUAGAUAGACCCCAAAGACCCUACAAAGACCCCAGAGCACCCAAGGGUGCUCAAAGUGUACCUCAACAGACCCUAGAGCCCCAGCAAAGCCCAACCCAACCUUGACCUACCUCAACGCCGCCACGCCAAAUCCCCCAAACUCCCCCAAAACGCCCCUCCCCAGUGGGUAGGCUCCCCCCCAGCACCCUUGGGUGCCCCUCACCCUUCUCGCAGGCCAGGUGGGCGAGCAGGGAGAUGGUCUGGAUGGUUUUGCCCAGCCCCAUCUCGUCGGCCAGGAUGCCGUUGAGCUUCUUCUCGUACAUGGUGACCAGCCAGUCCAGCCCGAUGUGCUGGUACUCCCGCAGCGUCCCCCGCAGCAGGUGCGGGAUGGGCGUCUUCACCUGUCCCAAAAACGGGUCAAAACGCCCCGAAAUCGGGGCCCGGCUGCACCCAUGGG
RNAcentral lists this long non-coding RNA (1305 nucleotides) under Anas platyrhynchos platyrhynchos (common mallard). RNAcentral describes it as "lncRNA (ENSAPLG00000026252.1)". The record is from RNAcentral. Lineage: Eukaryota; Metazoa; Chordata; Aves; Anseriformes; Anatidae.